RNAcentral lists this ribosomal RNA (469 nucleotides) under uncultured bacterium. RNAcentral describes it as "bacterial SSU rRNA". It matches the Rfam family "Bacterial small subunit ribosomal RNA", at positions 29 to 525 of the family's 1533-position model. The record is from RNAcentral.
AAUGAACGCUGGCGGUAGGCUUAACACAUGCAAGUCGGACGGAAACGAUGAAGUGCUUGCACUUCAGGCGUCGAGUGGCGGACGGGUGAGUAACGCGUGGGAAUCUGCCCUAUAGUACGGAAUAGCCGUUGGAAACGACGAUUAAUACCGUAUAUCUUCCCAGGAAGAAAGACUUGUCGCUAUAGGAUGAGCCCACGUUAGAUUAGUUUGUUGGUAGGGUAAUGGCCUACCAAGACUACGAUCUAUAGCUGGUUUGAGAGGAUGAUCAGCCACACUGGAACUGAGAUACGGUCCAGACUUCUACGGAAGGCAGCAGUGAGGAAUAUUGGACAAUGGGCGAAAGCCUGAUCCAGCAAUACCGCGUGAGUGAUGAAGGCUUUAGGGUUGUAAAACUCUUUCAGUAGGGAUGAUAAUGACGGUACCUACAGAAGAAGCACCGGCUAACUCCGUGCCAGCCGCCGCGGUAAUU